This 283-nucleotide long non-coding RNA is filed under the name Musa acuminata (dwarf banana). RNAcentral describes it as "long non-coding RNA (MACU_LNC009564)". Lineage: Eukaryota; Viridiplantae; Streptophyta; Magnoliopsida; Zingiberales; Musaceae. The record is from RNAcentral.
CUUGUUUCGGCGAGCUUUCCGACGAACUUCUUCCGACGGACUCCUAGCAAGCUCCCGAACUUGUGAUGACUUUAACGAGUAGCCGAGCCUUCUCGGUGAUCUCCGUGAACCUCCGACGAUCUCUUCGGCGAACUUCCGAAAAUUCCGACAGGUUCCCGAUUUCUUCUCGAUUGGUUCCGGCAACAUCUCCGAUGAUUCUUCGGACUCUUAAACGUCCAUCGAACUUGACUCCGGUAUACUUGCUUUGUGUUUUCUGGUUAUCGUAGUUAAUCCUGCACACUUA